AGAACGAACGCUGGCGGCAUGCCUAACACAUGCAAGUCGAACGCUUUUGGGGCUUCGGUCCCAAAGGAGUGGCGCACGGGUGAGUAGCGCGUGGGAACCUGCCCUGUUGUGGGGGAUAACCGAGGGAAACUUCGGCUAAUACCGCAUACGCCCGGGGGAAACUCCGGGGAAAGAUUUAUCGCAGCAGGAGGGGCCCGCGUCGGAUUAGGUAGUUGGUGGGGUAACGGCCCACCAAGCCUGUGAUCCGUAGCUGGUCUGAGAGGAUGAUCAGCCACACUGGGACUGAGACACGGCCCAGACUCCUACGGGAGGCAGCAGUGGGGAAUAUUGGACAAUGGGCGCAAGCCUGAUCCAGCAAUGCCGCGUGAGUGAUGAAGGCCUUCGGGUUGUAAAGCUCUUUCGCACGCGACGAUGAUGACGGUAGCGUGAGAAGAAGCCCGGACUAACUUCGUGCCAGCAGCCGC
This 464-nucleotide ribosomal RNA is filed under the name uncultured bacterium. RNAcentral's name for it is "SSU rRNA". It matches the Rfam family "Bacterial small subunit ribosomal RNA", at positions 26 to 518 of the family's 1533-position model. The record is from RNAcentral.